RNAcentral lists this long non-coding RNA (517 nucleotides) under Rattus norvegicus (Norway rat). Its description in RNAcentral is "long non-coding RNA NONRATT011486". Lineage: Eukaryota; Metazoa; Chordata; Mammalia; Rodentia; Muridae. The record is from RNAcentral.
CCCAAUACUGAAGAAUCUCAAACCAGCAACCCUAACGGAGAUUGUGAAGGUUUUCAAAGUGGGGCACCUCGAUUUCUCGAAUCUGUGGUGUGGCGAAUAUCCGUGUUCUUCCGGCUUAACUAGCCUGUUUGAAAGAAAAUGCAAGGGGAAAUAUCUGAUACGGCUCUGUUAUUUGAUGCUUUGGGCAGCACUAUGCUCAGAAGUCAUUCAACUUCCUGCCAUCUCCCUAACUUGUAUUCUCUGGCAAAAUGAAGGUCUGAGACGUUUCUAAAAGACAGAGUUGGAAAUGAACCAUCAUUGGUGUUGACAGAGAUGCCAAGCAGUCACCUGAGUGCAUAUAGCGUUGCUUGCUGUCAAGCCUGGUGACAUAAGUCGAUUCCUGGAAACUAUGUGACACAAAGGGAGAACUGACUCCUGAAAGAUGUCCUCGGAUCUUCACAUAUGCACAGUGGCACACGGCAUGUACCUAGCCAACCAUGCACAUAGUAUAUUAAAAUUAUUUUUAAAAAUCCAGUGU